This 416-nucleotide ribosomal RNA is filed under the name uncultured bacterium. RNAcentral describes it as "bacterial SSU rRNA". It matches the Rfam family "Bacterial small subunit ribosomal RNA", at positions 1001 to 1414 of the family's 1533-position model. The record is from RNAcentral.
CCGAAAGGCAGGAGUGCCUGCAAGGGAGCGCGGAGACAGGUGGUGCAUGGCUGUCGUCAGCUCGUGUCGUGAGAUGUUGGGUUAAGUCCCGCAACGAGCGCAACCCUCACCUCUUGUUGCCAUCAGGUCAUGCCGGGCACUCUAGAGGAACUGCCCCGGUCAACGGGGAGGAAGGCGGGGAUGACGUCAAGUCAUCAUGCCCCUUACGUCCUGGGCUACACACGUGCUACAAUGGCCGGUACAAAGGGAUGCCACACCGCGAAGUAGAGCUAAACCCAAAAAGCCGGUCUAAGUUCGGAUUGGAGUCUGCAACUCGACUCCAUGAAGGAGGAAUCGCUAGUAAUCGCGUAUCAGCACGACGCGGUGAAUACGUUCCCGGGCCUUGUACACACCGCCCGUCACACCACGAAAGCCAG